GUAUCCUGGCUCAGGAUGAACGCUAGCGACAGGCUUAACACAUGCAAGUCGAGGGGCAGGCAUGAUUUGUAGCAAUACAGAUUGAUGGCGACCGGCGCACGGGUGAGUAACGCGUAUGCAACUUACCUAUCAGAGGGGGAUAGCCCGGCGAAAGUCGGAUUAAUACCCCAUAAAACAGGGGUCCCGCAUGGGAAUAUUUGUUAAAGAUUUCAUCGCUGAUAGAUAGGCAGUGCGUU
This 236-nucleotide ribosomal RNA is filed under the name uncultured bacterium. RNAcentral describes it as "partial 16S ribosomal RNA". It matches the Rfam family "Bacterial small subunit ribosomal RNA", at positions 14 to 237 of the family's 1533-position model. The record is from RNAcentral.